CGGUGAAGGAGGAGCUUGCUCCUCCGGAUCAGUGGCGAACGGGUGAGUAACACGUGAGCAAUCUGCCCCUGACUCUGGGAUAAGCGUUGGAAACGACGUCUAAUACCGGAUACGAGCUGAGAAGGCAUCUUCAGCAGCUGGAAAGAACUUCGGUCAGGGAUGAGCUCGCGGCCUAUCAGGUAGUUGGUGAGGUAACGGCUCACCAAGCCUACGACGGGUAGCCGGCCUGAGAGGGUGACCGGCCACACUGGGACUGAGACACGGCCCAGACUCCUACGGGAGGCAGCAGUGGGGAAUAUUGCACAAUGGGCGAAAGCCUGAUGCAGCAACGCCGCGUGAGGGACGAAGGCCUUCGGGUUGUAAACCUCUUUUAGCAGGGAAGAAGCGAAAGUGACGGUACCUGCAGAAAAAGCACCGGCUAACUACGUGCCAGC
This 434-nucleotide ribosomal RNA is filed under the name Agrococcus sp. RNAcentral's name for it is "bacterial SSU rRNA". It matches the Rfam family "Bacterial small subunit ribosomal RNA", at positions 67 to 512 of the family's 1533-position model. The record is from RNAcentral. Lineage: Bacteria; Bacillati; Actinomycetota; Actinomycetes; Micrococcales; Microbacteriaceae.